UCGAAUUCUGAGCGAGUAGGAGAAUUUUUACUUUUUUUAGUGGUCGGAGGUGGCUCCGGUAUGGUGGCGAUUGGCGGUUAGCUUCUUUCUCCGACGUCUGGUUCUUCUUCUCCGAUGGGAGAGGGAGGGGGGAAGGCUAGCGGAUAGGGUUCGGGAUUUGUGUGAUGUAAAAUAUUUAUAUCCAUCCUGAAUUAAUUUGGGUCGUCCAUCGCGAUCGAUCUCGUCCAUCCGAUCAAGCCUAAGGAGGAAACGAAUUUGUACUGUUCAUUGCAUUUGAUCUCGACCAUUCGAUCGUGCCUAAGGGGAAACAAAUUUGGACCAUUCAUCGCAUUUGAUCUCGAUCGUUCGAUCACACCUACGGAGGAAACGGAUCCAGACCGUCCACGCGUGCGGGAUUGAUCAUGGAUCGUCUGAUCGCGGAGCACGCGGAUCGCCAACAAAGC
RNAcentral lists this long non-coding RNA (443 nucleotides) under Carica papaya (papaya). RNAcentral's name for it is "long non-coding RNA (CPAP_LNC006085)". Lineage: Eukaryota; Viridiplantae; Streptophyta; Magnoliopsida; Brassicales; Caricaceae. The record is from RNAcentral.